GCAGUAGCCGCGGGAAUACGGAGGAUCCAAGCGUUAUCCGGAAUCAUUGGGUUUAAAGGGUCCGUAGGCGGUCUUGUAAGUCAGUGGUGAAAGCCCAUCGCUCAACGGUGGAACGGCCAUUGAUACUGCAGGACUUGAAUUAUUGGGAAGUAACUAGAAUAUGUAGUGUAGCGGUGAAAUGCUUAGAGAUUACAUGGAAUACCAAUUGCGAAGGCAGGUUACUACCAAUUGAUUGACGCUGAUGGACGAAAGCGUGGGUAGCGAACAGGAUUAGAUACCCGGGUAGUCCCUGUCUCUUAUAC
This 302-nucleotide ribosomal RNA is filed under the name uncultured bacterium. RNAcentral's name for it is "partial 16S ribosomal RNA". It matches the Rfam family "Bacterial small subunit ribosomal RNA", at positions 508 to 807 of the family's 1533-position model. The record is from RNAcentral.